RNAcentral lists this ribosomal RNA (410 nucleotides) under Uncinaria lucasi. RNAcentral's name for it is "partial 12S ribosomal RNA". Lineage: Eukaryota; Metazoa; Nematoda; Chromadorea; Rhabditida; Ancylostomatidae. The record is from RNAcentral.
AAAUUUUUAUAUAAUUAUAGGUUAAAUUUUAAUUAUUUAAAAUGUAUAGUUAUAAUUUUAAAUUUUGUUAAUCGAAUUAGAUUAGUACCUAAUUAGUCAAAAGUUAAAAAAGCAGAAGUAAAGUAAAAUUUAAACUGAAAGAAUAUUGGCAGAUUUUCUAAAUUAUCUUUGGAGGUUGAGUAAUAAUUGAGAACCCUCAUUAACUACUUUUUUAGUUGUCUCAUGUAUGAUCGUUUAUUAUAUGCUUAAGGGAUAUAAUUAAAAAUUUUUAUUUAAAAAAAUAGAUAUAUAUUUGGUUUAUAUAAAAGUAAUAUUUGACCUACAGUAAUUUGUAAUUGUGGAUCUAUUUUUUAGUAAAGUAGUGAAAAUGUAAAAGACAGUAAAAAAAUUUUUAUGAUUUUUUGAAGAUU